This 253-nucleotide ribosomal RNA is filed under the name uncultured bacterium. Its description in RNAcentral is "partial 16S ribosomal RNA". It matches the Rfam family "Bacterial small subunit ribosomal RNA", at positions 524 to 776 of the family's 1533-position model. The record is from RNAcentral.
UACGUAGGUGGCAAGCGUUGUCCGGAAUUAUUGGGCGUAAAGCGCGCGCAGGCGGUCCUAUAAGUCUGAUGUGAAAGCCCCCGGCUCAACCGGGGAGGGUCAUUGGAAACUGUAGGACUUGAGUACUGGAGAGAAGAGUGGAAUUCCACGUGUAGCGGUGAAAUGCGUAGAUAUCUGGAGGAACACCGGUGGCGAAGGCGGCAUCCUGGACCGGCAUUGACGCUGAGGCGCGAAAGCCAGGGGAGCAAACGGG